This 30-nucleotide small RNA is filed under the name Bombyx mori (domestic silkworm). RNAcentral's name for it is "ovarian small RNA-31816". Lineage: Eukaryota; Metazoa; Arthropoda; Insecta; Lepidoptera; Bombycidae. The record is from RNAcentral.
UGACGUCGGCGAGGGCGCAGUUACCCUGUU